AUGAAAUUGAAUACUGAUGGAGCGGUAGCUCAUCACAAACAUGAAGGAGGAGCAACAGCUGUAUGCCGUGACCACAAUAGCAUUUAUCUUGGGUCAUCAACGAUGGUAUUUCACAUUACUGGUCCGGUGGUGCUUGAAGCAUAUGCGUGUAGGGAAUCGAUGACUCUGUCGGAGGACCUGGACAUUCAAAGCCUACUAGUGUCCUCAGAUUGCCAAGGAAUCGUCAAUGAUAUUAAUCAGGGGACAGGAGGCCCUCAUGCGGCAAUCAUACAUGAAAUAAUAGCUCGUAGAAGUAGUUUUCAGUCUUGUAGUUUCAUUCAUGAGCGUAGAAACUUCAAUUUUGAGGCUCAUAAUCUUGCCAAAAUUUGUUGUAAUUUAGGCUUAGGUAGACAUGUUUGGCUGGGUAUGCUUCAUGACCUAACUAGUGUAUCUAUGGACAUUACUUUGAAUCUAUAA
RNAcentral lists this ribosomal RNA (456 nucleotides) under Triticum aestivum (bread wheat). RNAcentral describes it as "partial small subunit ribosomal RNA". The record is from RNAcentral. Lineage: Eukaryota; Viridiplantae; Streptophyta; Magnoliopsida; Poales; Poaceae.